Molecule: long non-coding RNA, 355 nt
Organism: Priapulus caudatus
Lineage: Eukaryota; Metazoa; Priapulida; Priapulimorpha; Priapulimorphida; Priapulidae
Exons: 3
Source: RefSeq, a predicted model, not a curated record
GCGUUCGCAGACGUGGGGCGGACGCCGGAGUCGUUCUACAAGCUCGUGCACGCCAGGAAGGACAUUGCCAAGCUUCUCUCGCAGCUGGCGGUGUGCGUCACCUCGCUGAAAAACGAGGUUACUGUGGGUAUCGAGAGGUUUGAUCAGUACCACCGUGUGUGGCGGCUAGACAGAGACCUCGAGCUGGAGGCAUUCCUACAGCAGACGCCUAGCCUGGCUGAGUUUGAGCAAAAGAUACGGGAGUGGGCGGAGCUGGAAGCCAGGAUUCAAUCAGAGCCCGAGCACGUUGAUGUUGGACCAAUCGCGCUGUACACAGAGACCCUGAAGCUGGGAACUGACGAAGAACGCGAGCUUG